RNAcentral lists this ribosomal RNA (871 nucleotides) under Salinicola salarius. RNAcentral describes it as "bacterial SSU rRNA". It matches the Rfam family "Bacterial small subunit ribosomal RNA", at positions 373 to 1238 of the family's 1533-position model. The record is from RNAcentral. Lineage: Bacteria; Pseudomonadati; Pseudomonadota; Gammaproteobacteria; Oceanospirillales; Halomonadaceae.
GGGCGAAGCCUGAUCCAGCCAUGCCGCGUGUGUGAAGAAGGCUUUCGGGUUGUAAAGCACUUUCAGCGAGGAAGAAAGCCUCUGGGUUAAUACCCCAGAGGAAGGACAUCACUCGCAGAAGAAGCACCGGCUAACUCCGUGCCAGCAGCCGCGGUAAUACGGAGGGUGCGAGCGUUAAUCGGAAUUACUGGGCGUAAAGCGCGCGUAGGUGGCUUGGCACGCCGGUUGUGAAAGCCCCGGGCUCAACCUGGGAACGGCAUCCGGAACGGCCAGGCUAGAGUGCAGGAGAGGAAGGUAGAAUUCCCGGUGUAGCGGUGAAAUGCGUAGAGAUCGGGAGGAAUACCAGUGGCGAAGGCGGCCUUCUGGCCUGACACUGACACUGAGGUGCGAAAGCGUGGGUAGCAAACAGGAUUAGAUACCCUGGUAGUCCACGCCGUAAACGAUGUCGACUAGCCGUUGGGACCUUUAAGGACUUAGUGGCGCAGUUAACGCGAUAAGUCGACCGCCUGGGGAGUACGGCCGCAAGGUUAAAACUCAAAUGAAUUGACGGGGGCCCGCACAAGCGGUGGAGCAUGUGGUUUAAUUCGAUGCAACGCGAAGAACCUUACCUACCCUUGACAUCCAGAGAACUUUCCAGAGAUGGAUUGGUGCCUUCGGGAACUCUGAGACAGGUGCUGCAUGGCUGUCGUCAGCUCGUGUUGUGAAAUGUUGGGUUAAGUCCCGUAACGAGCGCAACCCUUGUCCUUAUUUGCCAGCGAUUCGGUCGGGAACUCUAAGGAGACUGCCGGUGACAAACCGGAGGAAGGUGGGGACGACGUCAAGUCAUCAUGGCCCUUACGGGUAGGGCUACACACGUGCUACAAUGGCCCGG